Molecule: transfer RNA, 71 nt
Filed under: Marmota monax (woodchuck)
Lineage: Eukaryota; Metazoa; Chordata; Mammalia; Rodentia; Sciuridae
Description: tRNA.Ala
Rfam family: tRNA
About the family: Transfer RNA (tRNA) molecules are approximately 80 nucleotides in length. Their secondary structure includes four short double-helical elements and three loops (D, anti-codon, and T loops).
Source: RNAcentral
GGGGCUGAGGCUCAGUGGUAGAGCGCUCGCCUAGCAUGUGUGAGGCCCUGGGUACGAUCCUCAGCACCACA